UCGAGAAUCUUCCGCAAUGGGCGAAAGCCUGACGGAGCGACGCCGCGUGGUGGAUGAAGUACUUCGGUACGUAAACACCUUUUAUGAGUGAAGAAGUAUAUUGACAUUAGCUCAUGAAUAAGGGGCUCCCAACUCUGUGCCAGCAGGAGCGGUAAUACAGAGGCCCCAAGCGUUAUCCGGAUUCACUGGGCGUAAAGGGUGCGUAGGCGGUUAUAUUAGUCGGGUGUUAAAUCCAUGGGCUCAACCCAUGAAUCGCAUUCGAAACGGUAUAACUAGAAGUAGUCAGAGGCUAACAGAGCUCUCGGUGUAGGGGUGAAAUCCGUUGAUAUCGAGGGAAAUACCAAAUGCGAAGGCAGUUAGCUGGGGCUCACUUGACGCUGAGGCACGAAAGCGUGGGUAGCGAACGGGAUUAGAUACCCCCGUAGUCC
This 428-nucleotide ribosomal RNA is filed under the name uncultured prokaryote. RNAcentral's name for it is "bacterial SSU rRNA". It matches the Rfam family "Bacterial small subunit ribosomal RNA", at positions 355 to 796 of the family's 1533-position model. The record is from RNAcentral.